CAUUCAGCAUCAGUCAACUAGGGAUUUGAGGGUAUAAUUUUUCUUUUUCUUUUGAAAAAUAUUUUGAAAUUUUUUUCCUGAUUUUUGAUUUUUUUCUUCUUUUUCACCCUCUUCUCUUUUUUUUCUUACAUUACAUUUGUAAUGCCCCAGUUUGACUGUUUUGCUGAUUCUCAUGAUACAGCUGAAUGAGCCUCUUUCGUGCUCAAGAAGAC
RNAcentral lists this long non-coding RNA (212 nucleotides) under Lathyrus oleraceus (garden pea). Its description in RNAcentral is "Pisum sativum (pea) long non-coding RNA (PSAT_LNC017147)". Lineage: Eukaryota; Viridiplantae; Streptophyta; Magnoliopsida; Fabales; Fabaceae. The record is from RNAcentral.